CCUACGGGUGGCAGCAGUGGGGAAUAUUGGACAAUGGGCGAAAGCCUGAUCCAGCCAUGCCGCGUGUGUGAAGAAGGCCUUCGGGUUGUAAAGCACUUUCAGUGGGGAAGAAAGCCUUGGGGCUAAUACCCUCGAGGAAGGACAUCACCCACAGAAGAAGCACCGGCUAACUCCGUGCCAGCAGCCGCGGUAAUACGGAGGGUGCGAGCGCUAAUCGGAAUUACUGGGCGUAAAGCGCGCGUAGGCGGUCUGAUAAGCCGGUUGUGAAAGCCCCGGGCUCAACCUGGGAACGGCAUCCGGAACUGUCAGGCUAGAGUGCAGGAGAGGAAGGUAGAAUUCCCGGUGUAGCGGUGAAAUGCGUAGAGAUCGGGAGGAAUACCAGUGGCGAAGGCGGCCUUCUGGACUGACACUGACGCUGAGGUGCGAAAGCGUGGGUAGCAAACAGGAUUAGAUACCCGGGUAGUC
RNAcentral lists this ribosomal RNA (465 nucleotides) under Vreelandella stevensii. Its description in RNAcentral is "partial 16S ribosomal RNA". It matches the Rfam family "Bacterial small subunit ribosomal RNA", at positions 338 to 795 of the family's 1533-position model. Lineage: Bacteria; Pseudomonadati; Pseudomonadota; Gammaproteobacteria; Oceanospirillales; Halomonadaceae. The record is from RNAcentral.